UAAUUCUAAAAAAGUGCUCUAUAGUGGAUACUCCACAAUAGUUAACUACUAGUAAAAGGCUUAAAUUAUUUCUCAAAAGAAAAAAAAAAAGAAAAAAAAAGGCUUAAAAUUAGUUAUCUUUAUGAUUAAUUAUGAUAAUGAUUUAUGAAUAAUAAUAAAAACUGCAUAUUUAUAUUAACAAAUUAUUCUCUCGAGCUUAUGGUUUAUUUCCUAAAUUUUGAGAAUUAAGUUAAUAUAAAUAAGGGUAAAUUACAACCACCUCCUUGAGGUAAAGUUAAUUUACGAAUAAAAUCCUUAUUUGUUAUAAAUUACAUAAAUACCCCUAAAGUUUGGAAAUUUCUUACAUCCACCCCAUACAAAAGGGUGUUAAUGUAAUAAAUUUACAAAUUUCAAGGGAUAGACGUAAUUAUGAAAACAUAAGGGGGUUGUUUCGUAAAUAUACCUUACCUCAGGGGCGGUUAAUUUACCAUAUAAAUAAACAUAAAUACGAAAAUUUCAGAUUCUCCGUGACCUAAUUUUUUCAAUCGGGUGACCUAAAAAUUUGAAUCCGAUUUCAAUUCUGUUCAGAAUACCCCAAUUUAGGAACCGGAUAAUCUGUUGCCGCAUUGAUUCACGAAGCCUGUGUAGAUGGAGAUGAACAAGCAUAAGGCCGACCCAGAUACACAAAACCAUGGAAAACGAAAGAGGAGACAGGCGGGAAUCGAUACUCUCGGUAUGGAUACUAAUGCGAUUGAUAAAUUGCCUGAGGAUUUACUUAUUGCGAUUGUCUGUGGAUGUUUACACAUGGGGUACUGGAAUUCGAUGACAGGGGUAUUAGUGCCAAUAGAACUAAAAUGAAAAUGUACAAGUUUGACGCCUUGGUGAAUUGUGUUCUCGAGUCGCAUCAGGGUACGAGUGUUGAUAGUAUGAUUGUUCGUUUUUGUUAUAAGACAAAUAUUUGUUCAUCUAGCAUUAGUAAAUGGGUUCUUUUUGCUAUGCAUAAGCAAGUAAAGAGAUUCGAUUUGGAUU
Non-coding RNA from Erythranthe guttata (spotted monkey flower), 1008 nucleotides. NCBI's taxonomy places the organism in Eukaryota, Viridiplantae, Streptophyta, Magnoliopsida, Lamiales, Phrymaceae. The record is from RefSeq and is a predicted model, not a curated record.